GUAUAAAUACCAAACCCUAUCAGAAAUCCACCCUUUAGAGGUCAGAUUUUGACGUCUUUCAAUUUUUUUUUUCUCUCAUUCUAAAGAUGAAAAAGACGCCAAAGAGAGAAGAUGAACUGAUCUCAAUCGCUGACCUCGAAGUGACCUCAACCUGACUUGGGGGAAAUUAUCACUUGGUUUUGGCUAAUUUGAUCAGGUAAACAGAGCUCAACCUGGCUCUCAUGAGAAGCUCAAAAGCAGCGACUUAAUGAAACUGCUCAAAGGAAACAUGCAUGUGGACUACAGCAUAACCAAAAUAGGGGAGCUUCUAUUUGGAGAAGAGCUCAAAAGUAUUGAUGAAUGUGAGGCCUUAGGGACAACAUCUAGUGGAUGACUGGGAGUGCUUCAAGAUGUUUAGUCGAUGUGGGAAGCUAUCGACAUAUGCAGAAUGAAAUACACACAAGCUUUUGCCAACAUCUGCAAUGUCGGGUCAGCCUAGAGAAAAUGGUUGCAGUGUCUAAUCAAGCUUGUUCUAAGAAACCCCAUGUCUAAUCUGAUUGAAAAUGGAUGUACUAAAUAAAGUCAUGCAUGUAUGCUGGUUACU
Long non-coding RNA from Rosa chinensis, 583 nucleotides. RefSeq lists it as uncharacterized. The record is from RefSeq and is a predicted model, not a curated record. The transcript is spliced from 3 exons. NCBI's taxonomy places the organism in Eukaryota, Viridiplantae, Streptophyta, Magnoliopsida, Rosales, Rosaceae.